GAUGAACGCUAGCGAUAGGCUUAACACAUGCAAGUCGAGGGGCAUCACGAAUUAGCAAUAGUUUGGUGGCGACCGGCGCACGGGUGCGUAACACGUAUACAACCUACCUUCAAUUGGGGGAAUAACCUGGAGAAAUUCGGACUAAUAUCCCAUAGCAAACGGAAGAGGCAUCUUUUUUGUUUAAAGAUUUAUUGAUUGGAGAUGGGUAUGCGUAGGAUUAGCUAGUUGGUAAGGUAACGGCUUACCAAGGCGACGAUCCUUAGGGGUUCUGAGAGGAAGGUCCCCCACACUGGUACUGAGACACGGACCAGACUCCUACGGGAGGCAGCAGUGAGGAAUAUUGGUCAAUGGUCGAGAGACUGAACCAGCCAAGUCGCGUGAAGGAAGACGGCUCUAUGAGUUGUAAACCUUCUUUUGUACAGGAGUAAAGUGAGACACGCGUGUUUUAUUGCAAGUACUGUACGAAUAAGCAUCGGCUAACUCCGUGCCAGCAGCCGCGGUAAGGA
This 506-nucleotide ribosomal RNA is filed under the name uncultured bacterium. RNAcentral describes it as "bacterial SSU rRNA". It matches the Rfam family "Bacterial small subunit ribosomal RNA", at positions 28 to 525 of the family's 1533-position model. The record is from RNAcentral.